Long non-coding RNA from Oncorhynchus gorbuscha (pink salmon), 1494 nucleotides. RefSeq lists it as uncharacterized. The record is from RefSeq and is a predicted model, not a curated record. The transcript is spliced from 5 exons. Lineage: Eukaryota; Metazoa; Chordata; Actinopteri; Salmoniformes; Salmonidae.
UCCCAGGGGAAGAGUUUGUGCAUCACAAUGCCAGGCAGCUGACCAGGGUUUAUCCCAGUGGCCUCAGAAGAAACUCCUCCAACUUCAACCCACAGGAGAUGUGGAACACAAGGACUCAAAUAAGUAGUUGCGUUGAAUUUCCAGAUGGCAGGGGUUGAGAUGGACCUCAACGAUGGACUGUUCAGUCAAAAUGGCCGCUGUGGCUAUGUCCUCAAACCUGACUUCAUGAGGAUGUCAGAGAGGAGGUUCGAUCCUGAGGUUCCACAGAACCGGGAAGGCUACCAACCCCGCAGUCUCUUGCUUUCAGGUGAUCAGUGCACAGUAGCUUCCCAAAGUGAAUAUCAAGGAGAGCUCCGUUGUGGACCCGUUUGUGAGAGUGGAGAUCCAUGGACUUCCUCUAGACCAGGCCAAGCAGGAGACCAGAUACAUAAACAACAAUGUGUGGUAUGACACUUUGCGGUUCACCAUCCAUGUGCCUGAACUGGCCCUGGUACGCUUUGUCGUGGAGGACUACGACAAGGCGUCAAGGAAUGAUUUUGUCGGACCUUGCCUUUCUCAUGUAUUCAGCAAGGAUACCGUCACAUCCACCUCCUGUCAAAGGACGGAACCAGUAUCCCCCCGCCUCCUUAUUUGUACAUGUUCGAAUCACUAACCUGGUAUAAGCUGAACGCUAGAGAUUCCAGUCGCUGCUUACCUCUCUGGCAUUUACAAGACUUGUAGAUAGAAAACACUGAAGGUGAAAGACGCUGAAGGCGGGAGACGUGACAAAAAGAGAACAAGCCAUCGUUCCGAGUUUUACCAGACAGUUUUGACAUUCAAGAGCUAGUUUCACAAACUAUGUAAUGAAUACUUCCUGUAGCAACUUCCUCGAAAGAGUAUGUAAUGUUGUGCAUAUACUAAGCCAAAGUUUUUUUUGUAGGUAUUAAUGUACGUUUAGAAAGUAUGAUUGGUGUGGUUUUCACUUGUGAUCUACAAUUCUAUAUUUACAGUGUCUAUUCCCAAUCAGAUGUAUUACUGAAGAACUGGCUCUGGGAUGAUUCUGUUUUUCCAACUCUAUGUCAUCAAAUGCUAGUCAACUACACAACUGUAUUUGAGAUAAUUUUUUGUUUUGCUGCAAUGAUAUGUAGCGAAGAAGUGUGCCUCCACUGGUCAAGAGUGAUGACACAUUUCAACAUAAUUUCAGUCAAUCUUCUUAUCCACACCACAUUAUUUUCAAUGAACCAAGCUCCUCAAGAAUGUAACAUUGAUGAGGCUGUUUGGUUAGAGUUGCCUAGGCUUACUGCAGGACACAUUUCCUCCCUCUUUUGCCCCAUUGGCAAGUUUUGGUUUAAAAUUGGUUAUGAUGCCAAUGAAAACAAAUAUACUCCAUUCCUCAUCUCUCUCGCUCUCUCUCUCUAAUGCAUAUUAUCAUUUCCAUGAACAAUAUUCGGAACAAUCCGUUUAGUAUACAUAGCAAUUAUAGCGAAACUCAAAAAUGCCUCAACUCAUGUCAUC